RNAcentral lists this ribosomal RNA (429 nucleotides) under Bacillota bacterium. Its description in RNAcentral is "Firmicutes bacterium partial 16S ribosomal RNA". It matches the Rfam family "Bacterial small subunit ribosomal RNA", at positions 355 to 776 of the family's 1533-position model. The record is from RNAcentral. Lineage: Bacteria; Bacillati; Bacillota.
UAGGGAAUCUUCGGCAAUGGACGGAAGUCUGACCGAGCCACGCCGCGUGAGUGAAGAAGGUUUUCGGAUCGUAAAGCUCUGUUGUUAGAGAAGAACGUUGGUAGGAGUGGAAAAUCUACCAAGUGACGGUAACUAACCAGAAAGGGACGGCUAACUACGUGCCAGCAGCCGCGGUAAUACGUAGGUCCCGAGCGUUGUCCGGAUUGAUUGGGCGUAAAGCGAGCGCAGGCGGUUCUUUAAGUCUGAAGUUAAAGGCAGUGGCUUAACCAUUGUACGCUUUGGAAACUGGAGGGCUUGAGUGCAGAAGGGGAGGGUGGAAUUCCAUGUGUAGCGGUGAAAUGCGUAGAUAUAUGGAGGAACACCGGUGGCGAAGGCGGCUCUCUGGUCUGUAACUGACGCUGAGGCUCGAAAGCGUGGGGAGCAAACAGG